AUACGGAGGGUGCAAGCGUUACUCGGAAUUACUGGGCGUAAAGGACGCGUAGGCGGUUUAGAAAGUCAGAUGUGAAAGCCUAUGGCUUAACCAUAGAACUGCAUUUGAAACUUCCAAACUAGAGUGGGGGAGAGGUCAGUGGAAUUAGUGGUGUAGGGGUAAAAUCCGUAGAGAUCACUAGGAAUACUCAUUGCGAAGGCGACUGACUGGAACUUAACUGACGCUGAGGCGUGAAAGCGUGGGGAGCAAACAGGAUUAGAAACCCUAGUAGUCC
This 274-nucleotide ribosomal RNA is filed under the name uncultured bacterium. RNAcentral's name for it is "partial 16S ribosomal RNA". It matches the Rfam family "Bacterial small subunit ribosomal RNA", at positions 523 to 796 of the family's 1533-position model. The record is from RNAcentral.